RNAcentral lists this ribosomal RNA (331 nucleotides) under uncultured bacterium. RNAcentral describes it as "bacterial SSU rRNA". It matches the Rfam family "Bacterial small subunit ribosomal RNA", at positions 28 to 342 of the family's 1533-position model. The record is from RNAcentral.
GACGAACGCUGGCGGCGUGCCUAACACAUGCAAGUCGAGCGAGAAGCUUAUGAUUGAGACUUCGGUUGAUUGAAUGAGUGGAAAGCGGCGGACGGGUGAGUAACGCGUGAGUAACCUGCCUUAUGGAGGGGGACAACAGUUAGAAAUGACUGCUAAUACCGCAUGAUAUAUAUUUAUCGCAUGGUAGAUAUAUCAAAGAUUUAUCGCCAUAAGAUGGACUCGCGUCUGAUUAGAUAGUUGGUGAGGUAACGGCUCACCAAGUCGACGAUCAGUAGCCGAACUGAGAGGUUGAUCGGCCACAUUGGGACUGAGACACGGCCCAGACUCCUAC